RNAcentral lists this ribosomal RNA (253 nucleotides) under uncultured bacterium. Its description in RNAcentral is "partial 16S ribosomal RNA". It matches the Rfam family "Bacterial small subunit ribosomal RNA", at positions 524 to 776 of the family's 1533-position model. The record is from RNAcentral.
UACAGAGGUCUCAAGCGUUGUUCGGAUUCAUUGGGCGUAAAGGGCGCGUAGGCGGCAGUGCAAGUCAGGUGUGAAAUCCCGGGGCUCAACCCCGGAACUGCACUUGAUACUGCUCUGCUAGAGUACUGGAGAGGAGACUGGAAUUUACGGUGUAGCAGUGAAAUGCGUAGAUAUCGUAAGGAAGACCAGUGGCGAAGGCGAGUCUCUGGACAGUUACUGACGCUGAGGCACGAAGGCCAGGGGAGCAAACGGG